GUACUCACUUCAGCAGCAUAUGUACUAAAAUUAGAAUGAUACAGAAAAGUUAGCAUGCACAAGUUUGGUAUGCAAAUUUGUGAAGCAUUCUAUAGUUUU
This 99-nucleotide small nuclear RNA is filed under the name Neogale vison (American mink). Lineage: Eukaryota; Metazoa; Chordata; Mammalia; Carnivora; Mustelidae. The record is from RNAcentral.